Molecule: ribosomal RNA, 427 nt
Filed under: Lactobacillus gasseri
Lineage: Bacteria; Bacillati; Bacillota; Bacilli; Lactobacillales; Lactobacillaceae
Description: bacterial SSU rRNA
Rfam family: Bacterial small subunit ribosomal RNA
Source: RNAcentral
GACGAACGCGGGCGGCGUGCCUAAUACAUGCAAGUCGAGCGAGCUUGCCUAGAUGAAUUUGGUGCUUGCACCAAAUGAAACUAGAUACAAGCGAGCGGCGGACGGGUGAGUAACACGUGGGUAACCUGCCCAAGAGACUGGGAUAACACCUGGAAACAGAUGCUAAUACCGGAUAACAACACUAGACGCAUGUCUAGAGUUUAAAAGAUGGUUCUGCUAUCACUCUUGGAUGGACCUGCGGUGCAUUAGCUAGUUGGUAAGGUAACGGCUUACCAAGGCAAUGAUGCAUAGCCGAGUUGAGAGACUGAUCGGCCACAUUGGGAUGAGACACGGCCCAAACUCCUACGGGAGGCAGCAGUAGGGAAUCUUCCACAAUGGACGCAAGUCUGAUGGAGCAACGCCGCGUGAGUGAAGAAGGGUUUCGGCU